RNAcentral lists this long non-coding RNA (1320 nucleotides) under Gallus gallus (chicken). The record is from RNAcentral. Lineage: Eukaryota; Metazoa; Chordata; Aves; Galliformes; Phasianidae.
GCACCCCCCUUUUCCCUCCCCAGACCCUGACCCCGAACCUGCCCCAUCGCUGCCCCCCCUGGAAGCAGAGCAGCCCCCAACACAGAACGCUGAGGACGAGGCCGUGGCCCGCGAGCUGGAGCAGCUUUACCUCUCCCACCUCCGCCGCCUCCGGGGGGGGCCAGGGGACAACACAGCCCCCCCCCCAACCUGCAGGGCCCCCCCCUUACCCGAGCGAGGCCCCAACACCUCUCUCGCAGCCGAAAUGGCGCUCCAUCACGAGGGGGCGGGGGGGGGGAGGACGUCGAAGCCCCCCGGAGUUACGAGGGAUGGGGGGGCCGGUGGUGGGAGCUUUGGUGGUACCCGCGCGGCCCCCCCCCGGGCGGGGGGGGGGGGACACUUUGGGGGGGGCUUUGAGGCGUUGUGGGGUUGUGUUGGCUUUGGCCGUGUUUGGUGCCGGUGGCUUGUGGGGAUGGGGGGGGGCCCACGGCCGCGUUGGCUUUGGGGAUCUACCUGGCCUUGACCUGGUUGACGUGACUGGGGGGGGGGGGGCAUAAUGGGGGGGGCCCCCCAAAUUGAUGCAAGGUCACCCCCCCCCCCACCCCAGGUAUGGGGACACACCCAAAUGGGUCGAGGAGGGGGGAGGAUGUGAGGUGUGGACCCCCCCACCCCACCCCAGAAUGCACACAGAGCAUGGGCAUGGCAUGGGGGUGCCCCAAAUUUAUCGUGACCCCCCCCCCCCCUCCCCCCAACCCCACCCCGCAUGUUGUGGCUGGGAUGGCCGAGGACACCCCAAAAUGAGGAUGGUAUCACUCAUAAUUUGGGGAGGGGGGGGUGCAUGGGUAACCCCAAAUCUCUCAUGAUGGGGGGGCGGGGGGGGGGCAUGGGAGACCCCAAAUCAUUCAUAGUAGGGGGGCGUGGGUCAGCCCAAAUCCCUCAUCAUGUGGUGGGGGGGGGGGGGGUGCAUGGGAGACCCCAAGCCAUUCAUAAUAUGGGGGGGGGGGCAUGGAAAACCCCAAAGCAUUCAUUAAGGGGGGAGGGGGAGGCAUGGGAGACCCCAAAUCAUUAAGGGGAAGGUCAUGGGACACCCCAAGUCAUAGCAGGGGGGGCACGGUCACCCCAAAUCUCUCAUAACUGGGGGGGGGAGGGGGGUGGUGGGAGAGACCCCAAAUCGUUCACAAGGCGUGGGGGGGGGGGGGAGCUCUGCCAUUUUGGGGUCCCCCCCCCCCACCCUCCCCCUCUUCUUGCUGCUAUUUUGUGUACCUGGUGUAGAUACAGCCGUGGAAAUGCGCUGUUCCCUCAUUCCUUAUGGGGUUUUUUUGGGGGGGGGAGGGGAGGGGG